Molecule: non-coding RNA, 379 nt
Organism: Poecilia reticulata (guppy)
Lineage: Eukaryota; Metazoa; Chordata; Actinopteri; Cyprinodontiformes; Poeciliidae
Source: RefSeq, a predicted model, not a curated record
ACGAGAAUAGUAAAGAUUGCGGUGUAGCUGCUAUCCCUUCAGCAGGAUCGAGAGAAGAUAACAGCAUCGGUGAUAUCAGGAUGGGUGACUUAUUCACCCAGGAGUUUGGCAAUGAGGCCUGAUGUGAAGACAUAAGGAUGUCAAAAGAUUUCCUUCAAAUCCACUCGACUGUAAAAAUACAGCAUAUAAUCACGGUUAAAGCUUUCCCCUUUUGGAAGCAAUCUCCCUCCUGCGUGCCGAGGAACUGUGACUGAUAACCGGAGCACAUUGUGGAAGAGAGGCAGUCUGUAACCACCUGACUGUAGGGACAUUAUAAUGAUAAGCUUGUUGAAGAGGUGCUGAGGCACCGGGGGAAUGUUUUAGCCUGAACACCCUGCAG